AACCAUAGAAACCUGCGGAGUACCUGCGGAGGGAUCAUUAAUGAAAAAUGGCGGCCCUAUAAUUUGGGCUGUUCAUCAGUUCUAUUGUGAUACUAUUGAAGCAUAAUAUCAGGGCUUAAAGAUGGGGUUUUUAGGAGUGAGUUUUUUUGGCUUACUUUUAAGAAAACCGGCCCUGAUUUAUUUUAAAUAAGCCAAUUUUGACCUUUUUGACUGAAAAAAUUGAAUUUAAUAAUUCAAAAA
RNAcentral lists this unclassified non-coding RNA (240 nucleotides) under soil metagenome. RNAcentral's name for it is "partial contains 5.8S ribosomal RNA, internal transcribed spacer 2, and large subunit ribosomal RNA". The record is from RNAcentral.